GGUGCUAUAGCUCAGUAGUAGAGCAUCUCCUUUGCAUGCAGAAGGAUGCAGGUUCAAUCCCCAGCAUCU
Non-coding RNA from Podarcis lilfordi (Lilford's wall lizard), 69 nucleotides. Lineage: Eukaryota; Metazoa; Chordata; Lepidosauria; Squamata; Lacertidae. The record is from the annotation of a GenBank genome assembly.